ACGGCGGGUUAUAUAAUACAUGCAAGUCGAGCGGAGUUUUGAAAAGCUUGCUUUUCAAAUCUUAGCGGCGGACGGGUGAGUAACACGUGGGCAACCUGCCCUUGAGACGGGGAUAACUCCGGGAAACCGGAGCUAAUACCGGAUAACACAUAUCUUCGCAUGAGGAUAUGUUAGAAGGUGGCUUUUAGCUACCACUCAAGGAUGGGCCCGCGGCGCAUUAGCUAGUUGGUGAGGUAACGGCUCACCAAGGCGACGAUGCGUAGCCGACCUGAGAGGGUGAUCGGCCACACUGGGACUGAGACACGGCCCAGACUCCUACGGGAGGCAGCAGUAGGGAAUCUUCCGCAAUGGACGAAAGUCUGACGGAGCAACGCCGCGUGAGUGAUGAAGGUUUUCGGAUCGUAAAGCUCUGUUGUUAGGGAAGAACAAGUACCUGUUAAAUAAGCAGGUACCUUGACGGUACCUAACCAGAAAGCCACGGCUAACUACGUGCCAGCAGCCGCGGUAAUACGUAGGUGGCAAGCGUUGUCCGGAAUUAUUGGGCGUAAAGCGCGCGCAGGCGGUUCCUUAAGUCUGAUGUGAAAGCCCACGGCUCAACCGUGGAGGGUCAUUGGAAACUGGGGAACUUGAGUGCAGAAGAGGAGAGCGGAAUUCCACGUGUAGCGGUGAAAUGCGUAGAGAUGUGGAGGAACACCAGUGGCGAAGGCGGCUCUCUGGUCUGUAACUGACGCUGAGGCGCGAAAGCGUGGGGAGCGAACAGGAUUAGAUAC
This 770-nucleotide ribosomal RNA is filed under the name Priestia endophytica. RNAcentral's name for it is "bacterial SSU rRNA". It matches the Rfam family "Bacterial small subunit ribosomal RNA", at positions 36 to 785 of the family's 1533-position model. Lineage: Bacteria; Bacillati; Bacillota; Bacilli; Caryophanales; Bacillaceae. The record is from RNAcentral.